RNAcentral lists this long non-coding RNA (363 nucleotides) under Androctonus crassicauda. The record is from RNAcentral. Lineage: Eukaryota; Metazoa; Arthropoda; Arachnida; Scorpiones; Buthidae.
CGGUAUUCUUAAGUAUGAAUAUAUCUGACUGAUUUUGCUGUUUCAUUACAUUAAAUAUUCUAUCAAGAUGCAUGUACAGAGUAUCUGUUCAGCAGUAUGAGCAACUGUGGGAAUUUCAUGCUUGUAGCAAAACAUGCAUUGAUUUUUUUGUAACAGAAUAUAUAAAGAUUAAAUUUCCUUUGUUCGACAUGGUUAGACCAGCGACGGACCUACAGGCUUUCGAGGCCUGGGACGGAAGUCUCCCUGGGCCACCCCUAAUUGGAAUGAUCAUCAUAGAAAAUGUCAACAGAAAUAUAUAAUUAACAUUUAUUUAAUCAAAAUUAAAUAGUUAAAAUGAGUUCUUCGGAAGUCCCCUGAUCAGAG